AACGAACGCUGGCGGCAUGCCUAACUCAUGCAAGUCGAACGAGAUCUUCGGGUCUAGUGGCGCACGGGUGCGUAACGCGUGGGAAUCUGCCCUUUGGUUCGGAAUAACAGUUGGAAACGACUGCUAAUACCGGAUGAUGGCGAAAGUCCAAGAUUUAUCGCCAGAGGAUGAGCCCGCGUAGGAUUAGCUAGUUGGUGUGGUAAAGGCGCACCAAGGCGACGAUCCUUAGCUGGUCUGAGAGGAUGAUCAGCCACACUGGGACUGAGACACGGCCCAGACUCCUACGGGAGGCAGCAGUGGGGAAUAUUGGACAAUGGGCGAAAGCCUGAUCCAGCAAUGCCGCGUGAGUGAUGAAGGCCUUAGGGUUGUAAAGCUCUUUUACCCGGGAUGAUAAUGACAGUACCGGGAGAAUAAGCUCCGGCUAACUCCGUGCCAGCCGCCGCGGUAA
RNAcentral lists this ribosomal RNA (448 nucleotides) under uncultured bacterium. RNAcentral's name for it is "partial 16S ribosomal RNA". It matches the Rfam family "Bacterial small subunit ribosomal RNA", at positions 29 to 523 of the family's 1533-position model. The record is from RNAcentral.